AGUGAACGCUGGCGGUAGGCCUAACACAUGCAAGUCGAACGGCAGCACAGGAAGAUCUCGCUCUUACGGGUGGCGGGUGGCGGGCGGGUGAUGCAUACGUCGCAUUCCACUUUUUCGUGGGGGAGCACGUAGGGAAACGUACGCUAAUGCAUCAUACGACCCACGGGAGGAAGCAGUGGAGAUAGGGACUUUGUGCGUUUGAAUGAGCCGAUGUCGGAUUAGCUAGUUGGCGGGGUAAAGGCCCACCAAGGCGACGAUCCGUAGCUGGUCUGAGAGGAUGAUCGGCCACACUGGAACUGAGCCACGGUCCAGACUCCUACGGGAGGCAGCAGUGGGGAAUAUUGGACAAUGGGCGCAAGCCUGAUCCAGCCAUACCGCGUGGGUGAAGAAGGCCUUCGGGUUGUAAAGCCCUUUUGUUGGGAAAGAAAAGCAGCAGGUUCAUACCCCGCUGUUCUGACGGUACCUAAAGAAUAAGCACCGGCUAACUUCGUG
This 492-nucleotide ribosomal RNA is filed under the name uncultured bacterium. RNAcentral's name for it is "partial 16S ribosomal RNA". It matches the Rfam family "Bacterial small subunit ribosomal RNA", at positions 29 to 507 of the family's 1533-position model. The record is from RNAcentral.